RNAcentral lists this ribosomal RNA (637 nucleotides) under uncultured bacterium. RNAcentral describes it as "bacterial SSU rRNA". It matches the Rfam family "Bacterial small subunit ribosomal RNA", at positions 202 to 842 of the family's 1533-position model. The record is from RNAcentral.
UAAAGAUUCAUCGCUGAUAGAUAGGCAUGCGUUCCAUUAGGCAGUUGGCGGGGUAACGGCCCACCAAACCGACGAUGGAUAGGGGUUCUGAGAGGAAGGUCCCCCACAUUGGUACUGAGACACGGACCAAACUCCUACGGGAGGCAGCAGUGAGGAAUAUUGGUCAAUGGGCGUAAGCCUGAACCAGCCAAGUCGCGUGAGGGAUGAAGGUUCUAUGGAUCGUAAACCUCUUUUAUAAGGGAAUAAAGUGUGGGACGUGUCCUAUUUUGUAUGUACCUUAUGAAUAAGGACCGGCUAACUCCGUGCCAGCAGCCGCGGUAAUACGGAGGAUCCGAGCGUUAUCCGGAUUUAUUGGGUUUAAAGGGUGCGUAGGCGGCCUUUUAAGUCAGCGGUGAAAGUCUGUGGCUCAACCAUAGAAUUGCCGUUGAAACUGGGGGGCUUGAGUAUGUUUGAGGCAGGCGGAAUGCGUGGUGUAGCGGUGAAAUGCUUAGAUAUCACGCAGAACCCCGAUUGCGAAGGCAGCCUGCCAAGCCAUGACUGACGCUGAUGCACGAAAGCGUGGGGAUCAAACAGGAUUAGAUACCCUGGUAGUCCACGCAGUAAACGAUGAUCACUAGCUGUUUGCGAUACAGUGUAA